RNAcentral lists this ribosomal RNA (253 nucleotides) under uncultured prokaryote. RNAcentral describes it as "partial 16S ribosomal RNA". It matches the Rfam family "Bacterial small subunit ribosomal RNA", at positions 525 to 777 of the family's 1533-position model. The record is from RNAcentral.
ACGUAGGGUGCGAGCGUUAAUCGGAAUUACUGGGCGUAAAGCGUGCGCAGGCGGUUUUGUAAGACAGGCGUGAAAUCCCCGAGCUUAACUUGGGAAUGGCGCUUGUGACUGCAAGGCUAGAGUACGAUAGAGGGGUGUAGAAUUCCGCGUGUAGUGGUGAAAUGCGUAGAGAUGCGGAGGAAUACCAGAGGCGAAGGCGGCACCCUGGAUCGUAACUGACGCUGAGGCGCGAAAGCUAGGGUAGCAAACGGGA